Oncorhynchus tshawytscha (Chinook salmon) is the source of this 1226-nucleotide long non-coding RNA. The record is from Ensembl. NCBI's taxonomy places the organism in Eukaryota, Metazoa, Chordata, Actinopteri, Salmoniformes, Salmonidae.
CUCGGACCCAUUUGCUCCGAACGGAACGACUCAGACCCACUUGCUCCGAACGGAACGACUCAGACCCACUUGCUCCGAACGGAAUGUCUCGGACCCACUUGCUCCGAACGGAUUGACUCAGACCCACUUGCUCCGAACGGAAUGACUCAGACCCACUUGCUCCGAACGGAUUGACUCAGACCCACUUGCUCCGAACGGAAUGACUCAGACCAACUUGCCCCGAACGGAAUGACUCAGAGACACAUGGUGCAAACGGAAUGACCCAGAGCCACUUGCUCCGAACAGAAUGACUCAGAGCCACAUGGUGCAAACGGAAUGACCCAGAGCCACUUGCUCCGAACAGAAUGACUCAGACCCACUUGCUCCAAACGGAAUGACUCAGAGCCACAUGGUGCAAACGGAAUGACCCACUUGCUCCGAACGAAAAAAGAAGCCACUGUUUGGAUGCCAUUCAGCCAAGUUAUGGUUAUCAUAAAGCACAGCUUGCUGUAGUCUGCUCUGCUCUGAGCAGACUUAUGUUCACGUGAUCCUGUGUGUUACAUUACAGUGGUGGUGGUGGUUUAGGCCUCGGCUGCUCUGAGCAGACUUAUGACCACGUGAUCCUGUGUGUUACAUUACAGUGGUGGUGGUGGUUUAGGCCUCGGCUGCUCUGAGCAGGCUUAUGACCACGUGAUCCUGUGUGUUACAUUACAGUGGUCGUGGUGGUUUAGGCCUCGGCUGCUCUGAGCAGGCUUAUGACCACGUGAUCCUGUGUGUUACAUUACAGUGGUGGUGGUGGUUUAGGCCUGGGCUGGUCUGCAUGGUCACUUGUCUCUUAAUAUCUUAAUAGGUGGAACUCUUCAACAGAAGCCUUCACCAACGAGUCCAAGAACAAAUGAUACAACCUAACUACACUUUAUCUAGUUUUCUCCAACGCCCCCUCGCCAAAUAGAUGCUAAUCUUUGUGCGCCCGGGUGGAGCGGCCAGCGUCCCAGGUUGCCAGCUGUUUGGAGGAUAAAAGAGUGAUGCAUGAUGGGAGUUAUUAUUUACAGCCCACAACAAAACAGAACAGCAGCUCAUGCGAAAUAAGAGCCAGCAUACUAUGCCCUCCUGUGUCCUCAUAAGUGUCCUCAUAAGUGACCGGCCAGUGAUGGUGACCACCUCCAUGUCCCCCUCCCCACCCAGACCGGCCCCUGCCCACCAAACCCACCGUGGCCAUCCUAGAGGUGGUCUGAGCAGAGCAGAAG